GGCUACGAUCAGUAGGGGUUCUGAGGGGAAGGUCCCCCACAUUGGAACUGAGACACGGUCCAAACUCCUACGGGAGGCAGCAGUGAGGAAUAUUGGUCAAUGGACGAGAGUCUGAACCAGCCAAGUAGCGUGCAGGAAGACGGCCCUAUGGGUUGUAAACUGCUUUUAUAAGGGAAUAAAGUGAGAGUCGUGACUCUUUUUGCAUGUACCUUAUGAAUAAGGACCGGCUAAUUCCGUGCCAGCAGCCGCGGUAAUACGGAAGGUCCGGGCGUUAUCCGGAUUUAUUGGGUUUAAAGGGAGCGUAGGCCGGAGAUUAAGCGUGUUGUGAAAUGUAGACGCUCAACGUCUGCACUGCAGCGCGAACUGGUUUCCUUGAGUACGCACAAAGUGGGCGGAAUUCGUGGUGUAGCGGUGAAAUGCUUAGAUAUCACGAAGAACUCCGAUUGCGAAGGCAGCUCACUGGAGCGCAACUGACGCUGAAGCUCGAAAGUGCGGGUAUCGAACAGGAUUAGAUACCCUGGUAGUCCGCACGGUAAACGAUGGAUGCCCGCUGUUGGUCUGAAUAGGUCAGCGGCCAAGCGAAAGCAUUAAGCAUCCCACCUGGGGAGUACGCCGGCAACGGUGAGACUCAAAGGAAUUGACGGGGGCCCGCACAAGCGGAGGAACAUGUGGAUUAAUUCGAUGAUACGCGAGGAACCUUACCCGGGCUUGAAUUGCAGAGGAAGGAUUUGGAGACAAUGACGCCCUUCGGGGCCUCUGUGAAGGUGCUGCAUGGUUGUCGUCAGCUUGUGCCGUGAGGUGUCGGCUUAAGUGCCAUAACGAGCGCAACCCCUCUCCUUAGUUGCCAUCAGGUUAAGCUGGGCACUCUGGGGACACUGCCACCGUAAGGUGUGAGGAGGGUGGGGAUGACGUCAAAUCAGCACGGCCCUUACGUCCGGGGCUACACACGUGUUACAAUGGCAGGUACAGAGAGACGGUUGUACGUAAGUACGAUCAAAUCCUUAAAGCCUGUCUCAGUUCGGACUGGGGUCUGCAACCCGACCCCACGAAGCUGGAUUCGCUAGUAAUCGCGCAUCAGCCAUGGCGCGGUGAAUACGUUCCCGGGCCUUGUACACACCGCCCGUCAAGCCAUGAAAGCCGGGGGCGCCUAAAGUCCGUGACCGUAAGGAGCGGCCUAGGGCGAAACUGGUAAUUGGGGCUAAGUCGUAACAAGGUA
This 1216-nucleotide ribosomal RNA is filed under the name metagenome. Its description in RNAcentral is "bacterial SSU rRNA". It matches the Rfam family "Bacterial small subunit ribosomal RNA", at positions 272 to 1498 of the family's 1533-position model. The record is from RNAcentral.